AUUGAACGCUGGCGGCAGGCCUAACACAUGCAAGUCGAGCGGAUGAAGGGAGCUUGCUCCUGGAUUCAGCGGCGGACGGGUGAGUAAUGCCUAGGAAUCUGCCUGGUAGUGGGGGAUAACGUCCGGAAACGGGCGCUAAUACCGCAUACGUCCUGAGGGAGAAAGUGGGGGAUCUUCGGACCUCACGCUAUCAGAUGAGCCUAGGUCGGAUUAGCUAGUUGGUGGGGUAAAGGCCUACCAAGGCGACGAUCCGUAACUGGUCUGAGAGGAUGAUCAGUCAAACUGGAACUGAGACACGGUCCAGACUCCUACGGGAGGCAGCAGUGGGGAAUAUUGGACAAUGGGCGAAAGCCUGAUCCAGCCAUGCCGCGUGUGUGAAGAAGGUCUUCGGAUUGUAAAGCACUUUAAGUUGGGAGGAAGGGCAGUAAGUUAAUACCUUGCUGUUUUGGCGUUACCAACAGAAUAAGCACCGGCUAACUUCGUG
RNAcentral lists this ribosomal RNA (484 nucleotides) under uncultured bacterium. Its description in RNAcentral is "partial 16S ribosomal RNA". It matches the Rfam family "Bacterial small subunit ribosomal RNA", at positions 30 to 507 of the family's 1533-position model. The record is from RNAcentral.